UACGGGGGAUGCAAGCGUUAUCCGGAUUUAUUGGGUUUAAAGGGUGCGUAGGCGGUUUGAUAAGUCAGCGGUGAAAUAUUUCAGCUUAACUGAAAGGGUGCCGUUGAUACUGGGGGUCUUGAAUUCGGUCAAGGUGGGCGGAAUGCGUGGUGUAGCGGUGAAACGCUUAGAUAUCACGCAGAACGCCGAUAGCGAAGGCAGCUCACCGGGCCGACAUUGACGCUGAGGCACGAAAGCGUGGUGAUCAAACAGGAUUAGAUACCCUGGUAGUCCACACUGUAAACGAUGAUAACUCGCUGUCGGCGAUAUAAAGUCGGUGGCCAAGCGAAAGCGAUAAGUUAUCCACCUGGGGAGUACGACCGCAAGGUUGAA
This 372-nucleotide ribosomal RNA is filed under the name uncultured bacterium. Its description in RNAcentral is "bacterial SSU rRNA". It matches the Rfam family "Bacterial small subunit ribosomal RNA", at positions 524 to 898 of the family's 1533-position model. The record is from RNAcentral.